GGCUGUGUAGCUCAGUGGUAGAGCAAACGUUUCAUAAGCGUUAGGUCAGAGGUUCAAUCCCUCUCACAGCCA
This 72-nucleotide transfer RNA is filed under the name Candidatus Nealsonbacteria bacterium CG_4_10_14_0_8_um_filter_37_14. Its description in RNAcentral is "tRNA-Met". It matches the Rfam family "tRNA". Rfam says of the family: Transfer RNA (tRNA) molecules are approximately 80 nucleotides in length. The record is from RNAcentral. RNAcentral also lists the same sequence under 3 other names. Lineage: Bacteria; Candidatus Nealsoniibacteriota.